UACGAAGGGGGCUAGCGUUGUUCGGAAUCACUGGGCGUAAAGCGUACGUAGGCGGACCGUUAAGUCGGGGGUGAAAUCCUGGGGCUCAACCUCAGAACUGCCUUCGAUACUGGCGGUCUCGAGUCCGGGAGAGGUGAGUGGAACUCCUAGUGUAGAGGUGAAAUUCGUAGAUAUUAGGAAGAACACCAGUGGCGAAGGCGGCUCACUGGCCCGGUACUGACGCUGAGGUACGAAAGCGUGGGGAGCAAACAGG
This 253-nucleotide ribosomal RNA is filed under the name uncultured bacterium. RNAcentral's name for it is "partial 16S ribosomal RNA". It matches the Rfam family "Bacterial small subunit ribosomal RNA", at positions 524 to 776 of the family's 1533-position model. The record is from RNAcentral.